Molecule: ribosomal RNA, 425 nt
Filed under: Streptomyces griseus subsp. griseus
Lineage: Bacteria; Bacillati; Actinomycetota; Actinomycetes; Kitasatosporales; Streptomycetaceae
Description: partial 16S ribosomal RNA
Source: RNAcentral
GGUUUACAACCCGAAGGCCGUUCACUCCCUCACGCGGCGUUCGCUUGCAUCAGGCUUUCGCCCAUUUGUGCAAUAUUCCCCACUGCCUGCCUCCCGUUAGGAGUCUGGGCCGUGUCUCAGUUCCCAGUGUGGCCGGUCGCCCUCUCAGGCCGGCUACCCGUCGUCGCCUUGGUAGGCCAUUACCCCACCAACAAGCUGAUAGGCCGCGGGCUCAUCCUUCACCGCCGGAGCUUUUAACCCCGUCCCAUGCGGGACAGAGUGUUAUCCGGUAUUAGACCCCGUUUCCAGGGCUUGUCCCAGAGUGAAGGGCAGAUUGCCCACGUGUUACUCACCCGUUCGCCACUAAUCCACCCCGAAAGGCUUCAUCGUUCGACUUGCAUGUGUUAAGCACGCCGCCAGCGUUCGUCCUGAGCCAGGAUCAAACU